GCGGGUGUAGUUGAUCGGCUCAACGCCACCUUCCCAAGGUGGAAAGGGCGGUUCGAUUCCGCUCACCCGCU
This 71-nucleotide transfer RNA is filed under the name Candidatus Woesebacteria bacterium. RNAcentral's name for it is "tRNA-Gly". It matches the Rfam family "tRNA". From Rfam's summary of the family: Transfer RNA (tRNA) molecules are approximately 80 nucleotides in length. Their secondary structure includes four short double-helical elements and three loops (D, anti-codon, and T loops). The record is from RNAcentral. Lineage: Bacteria; Candidatus Woeseibacteriota.